AUUGCUGACUUUAAGGGUUUUCUGAUGAUACUGGAUCAGGUGAAGAGAUCUGUGCUGCAUCCAUCUACCUGGGUUGGAAUUAGACACAGGAACAUUCAGCAGGAAAGUUCCUCUGUCUGGUUCAGUGCCUGGUCACAGCGAGUGUUCCUGGCACAAGUGAGUGGAAAGAGCACUUUGGCAUGGAGAGGAAAUGAGCAGCAGAGGGUGAAAGGUGUCCUGGCAGGCACUUCCCAUUUGUGUCCUUAUCUGCCAGCCUCCAGCCGUCUUCAAAGGCUUCCC
RNAcentral lists this long non-coding RNA (279 nucleotides) under Serinus canaria (Common canary). RNAcentral's name for it is "lncRNA (ENSSCAG00000004457.1)". The record is from RNAcentral. Lineage: Eukaryota; Metazoa; Chordata; Aves; Passeriformes; Fringillidae.